Molecule: long non-coding RNA, 436 nt
Filed under: Ananas comosus (pineapple)
Lineage: Eukaryota; Viridiplantae; Streptophyta; Magnoliopsida; Poales; Bromeliaceae
Description: long non-coding RNA (ACOM_LNC027393)
Source: RNAcentral
AAAUGCCCAGUUUUCGUAUGAUUUGUAAAAGUUGUUUUCCGAAAAAAAAAAAUUUUUACGAUCAAACAAACAUUGGAAAUUUACUUUUCCUCGGAAAAUUUUUUUUCGGAGUGCUUUUACAGCAAAACAAAAGCCCCCUAAGGUUCAGGGUUUGCACUCAUGUUCCAAUGUUCUGCAAUCUGAAGAGAGAGGAAUGAGUUACGAAUCUAGUAAUGGAUCGACAUCUCGAAGGGCACCGAGGAGUCUUACAUGACUUUGGUAUAGCAAUUAGCAAUAGUUACUUCUCUGAGUUCUAAUUCAGUUCUCAAUGUAGAAAUUAAUCAAUCAAAAUAGUAAUUACUCUCUUUGCAUAUGCUUGUUCAGGGUAAGUGCUUCCUACAGUGAGAGGCGGGACACCAAUAUGAUCCUUAAAUGUCUGCUAAUUAUCACACUAAAC